AGAGUUUGAUCCUGGCUCAGAUUGAACGCUGGCGGCAUGCCUUACACAUGCAAGUCGAGCGGCAGCGCGGGGGGUAACUCCUGGCGGCGAGUGGCGAACGGGUGAGUAAUAUAUCGGAACGUGCCCUGGAGUGGGGGAUAACUAGUCGAAAGAUUAGCUAAUACCGCAUACGAUCUACGGAUGAAAGUGGGGGAUUCGCAAGAACCUCAUGCUCGUGGAGCGGCCGAUAUCUGAUUAGCUAGUUGGUAGGGUAAAAGCCUACCAAGGCGACGAUCAGUAGCUGGUUUGAGAGAACGACCAGCCACACUGGGACUGAGACACGGCCCAGACUCCUACGGGAGGCAGCAGUGGGGAAUUUUGGACAAUGGGGGC
Molecule: ribosomal RNA, 372 nt
Filed under: uncultured bacterium
Lineage: Bacteria
Description: bacterial SSU rRNA
Rfam family: Bacterial small subunit ribosomal RNA
Source: RNAcentral